Molecule: ribosomal RNA, 119 nt
Filed under: Octopus vulgaris (common octopus)
Lineage: Eukaryota; Metazoa; Mollusca; Cephalopoda; Octopoda; Octopodidae
Also listed under: 1 other name
Source: RNAcentral
GCUUGCGGCAAUGUCACGUUGAAAGCACCGGUUCUCGUCCGAUCACCGAAGUUAAGCAACGUCGAGCCUAGUUGGUACUUAGAUGGGUGACCGCUUGGGAAACCUAGGUGUUGUAAGUG